Molecule: ribosomal RNA, 253 nt
Filed under: uncultured bacterium
Lineage: Bacteria
Description: partial 16S ribosomal RNA
Rfam family: Bacterial small subunit ribosomal RNA
Source: RNAcentral
UACGUAGGGUGCAAGCGUUGUCCGGAAUUAUUGGGCGUAAAGAGCUCGUAGGCGGUUUGUCGCGUCUGCUGUGAAAUCCCAGGGCUUAACCCUGGGCCUGCAGUGGGUACGGGCAAACUAGAGUGCGGUAGGGGAGAUCGGAAUUCCUGGUGUAGCGGUGAAAUGCGCAGAUAUCAGGAAGAACACCCGUGGCGAAAGCGGCUCUCUGGGACGGUACUGACGCUGAGACGCGAAAGCGUGGGGAGCGAACAGG